Molecule: ribosomal RNA, 496 nt
Filed under: uncultured bacterium
Lineage: Bacteria
Description: partial 16S ribosomal RNA
Rfam family: Bacterial small subunit ribosomal RNA
Source: RNAcentral
AUGAACGCUGGCGGCGUGCCUAAUACAUGCAGGUCGAGCGAACGGACGAGAAGCUUGCUUUUCUGAUGUUAGCGGCGGACGGGUGAGUAACACGUGGAUAACCUACCUAUAAGACUGGGAUAACUUCGGGAAACCGGAGCUAAUACCGGAUAAUAUUUUGAACCGCAUGGUUCAAAAGUGAAAGACGGUCUUGCUGUCACUUAUAGAUGGAUCCGCGCUGCAUUAGCUAGUUGGUAAGGUAACGGCUUACCAAGGCAACGAUGCAUAGCCGACCUGAGAGGGUGAUCGGCCACACUGGAACUGAGACACGGUCCAGACUCCUACGGGAGGCAGCAGUAGGGAAUCUUCCGCAAUGGGCGAAAGCCUGACGGAGCAACGCCGCGUGAGUGAUGAAGGUCUUCGGAUCGUAAAACUCUGUUAUUAGGGAAGAACAUAUGUGUAAGUAACUGUGCACAUCUUGACGGUACCUAAUCAGAAAGCCACGGCUAACUACGUG